AAAAGGACUGAUAAGAACGUGUCUCCACAAGGACAAGGCUUUAUGACUUCUAACACAACACUGCUGGGGCAUCUGGGAGACGGGAAUACUCAUUAAAUUCUCAGUUUGGUUCAGGGGAAUUCCUGAAGAAAAAUCUCGAAGAAAAAGGUUUUAGUACAUAAAAAGCAGAAACGGACAGUUUCACCAAACCUCUAUAACAUUUUGUCAUUGUGCUGUGACAUGAGGAUGAGCUACAGUUGGAGUUUUAUCAGCCU
This is a long non-coding RNA of Astatotilapia calliptera (eastern happy), 254 nucleotides long. Lineage: Eukaryota; Metazoa; Chordata; Actinopteri; Cichliformes; Cichlidae. The record is from Ensembl.